UCAGACAACUUAACUGACUGAGCCAUCCAGGUGCCCCUCAAGGGAUGCUGAAGCCCAGGGAGGCAGGGGCCUAGCAGAAGCCUUCAGGGCGCAAAGACAGAGGACACGCCACUGGGCCGGAUGCCAGGGACCAAGCGCUAAGAAGAAGAAACUGACUUGCAUGAAAUCCUGAGCUGAAGAACCAGAAUGAAGAGUAGAGAAUGCAGUCUCCUGUGGGGAUGCCCAGGCCGCCUGUCCUCAACAGCUCCAGCCCAGGGACCGCACCAGAAGAGGCAGGGACAUCAGGCGGUGUCCUCGGAACUGGGAGGUCCCUGUCAAGGGCAAGUUCCUCUGAAGCACCCUGACCCCUCCAGCCUGGGCGGGGUUCGAUGGGACUCAGAGCGGAGAGAGGAU
Neogale vison (American mink) is the source of this 393-nucleotide long non-coding RNA. RefSeq lists it as uncharacterized. The record is from RefSeq and is a predicted model, not a curated record. The transcript has 3 exons. NCBI's taxonomy places the organism in Eukaryota, Metazoa, Chordata, Mammalia, Carnivora, Mustelidae.